This 559-nucleotide long non-coding RNA is filed under the name Sorghum bicolor (sorghum). Its description in RNAcentral is "long non-coding RNA (SBIC_LNC000909)". Lineage: Eukaryota; Viridiplantae; Streptophyta; Magnoliopsida; Poales; Poaceae. The record is from RNAcentral.
AUAUGCUCAAUACACAAGGUAAUGUUGUAAAUAAUUAAAAACUCAUGUUACGAUCUGAUCAGUGCUUAUUUUAGGACACUAAGCUUGUCCUUGGGAAACCAUCAAUUUAUGUCAGCGAAGUGGUUUCCCCUCCAACGCUGACCUAUAUCAAGAUCAACUCAACGAGAUCUCCAAUAUUUAUUAUAGACAUAUGUAUCAACAACCGCCCUUUUAAAGUUUUUAUAAAUAGAAAGGAUGAGGGGGUUGGAGAUCUCGAAUGUGGUGAUGUUGGAGAGACCAAAAGAUUGGGAAGAUGUUGCAUUUGAGCAUGGAGUAAAUGAAGUGGCUAUGAAAUAAAUUCCAUGCUCAUUAAUGCUUAGAGUGAAAUCCAUGUGGUGUGGUGAAAAUGGUAAGGUGAGUGUGGUAAAAAAAGAAAAAGAAAAAGGAUACACAUGGGACUUGGUUCGAAACUAGCACAGCUACCGUUCCCCGGCAACGACGCUAGAAAGCUUGUUGGGUAUUUGAAACGCAAACAGAAAAAUCCGCAAGCGCACGGAUACCGAUGUAGCCUUCACCCGGG